UUCCCUUCAUCCACCCUCUUUCGCUCUGCGCCGGCCACAAGGUGGGGCUGCAGCGGCGAGAGCGCCUGAAGUCGGGGCGCACUCGCCUCGUAACCUUCUGGUCACCCAGACAAACAGCCGCGAAUGUUCCAAGUUUUAUCCAAAGUGGCUGCACCAUUUAAUAUUCUCCUUGGUAAAUGUUUGAAGGUUCCAAUUUCUUCACAUCCUCACCAACAGGUGACAAGAGGACCACCUAGUCUCUGUGAAAUGGCUGCAGAAUAUAAGUUGAUGCUGCUGGCAUUUCCCUUAGAGUUUCCCUGAUGACUUUAGGUGAAUUAGAAGAUUGGAUUUCUUACCCUGCAAAGCCGAGGCAAAGGCCAGACCAAUGGAAAAACAUAGAAAAACUAUCAAGGCUCAGCUCAAGAACCACCCUCUUCAAGUUGUUUUCCUGAUUUGUUCAGCUCAAACAUGUUCUCCUCUUUCCUGAGGACACAGCAAGAAGACACCUGUCUGUGAACCAGGAAUCUGACACUCAGCAAACACCUGUCAGCGCCUUCAUCUUGGACUUCCAACCUCCAGA
This is a long non-coding RNA of Talpa occidentalis (Iberian mole), 559 nucleotides long. RefSeq lists it as uncharacterized. The transcript has 6 exons. The record is from RefSeq and is a predicted model, not a curated record. NCBI's taxonomy places the organism in Eukaryota, Metazoa, Chordata, Mammalia, Eulipotyphla, Talpidae.